This 224-nucleotide unclassified non-coding RNA is filed under the name Hevea brasiliensis (rubber tree). The record is from RNAcentral. Lineage: Eukaryota; Viridiplantae; Streptophyta; Magnoliopsida; Malpighiales; Euphorbiaceae.
AAAGUUUACUUCUCAGGAAAGAGAGAAAACUUAAACUUUUGGUUAUUUUCGUCUGUUUUUCAAUUUCUUUAUUCUUCUAAGACACCGAGUUAAUCUGUUCUCUUGGCACUGAAGAUAAAGAAAGAGACUUUUGAUCAUUAAUUAUAUGUACCUGAUUCUACUUUUUCACUGAUUUUGAGUUAGCGGUGCAUUAUAUUUCAGUUUUCAGGAAUCUAUAGGAGGAG